This 62-nucleotide transfer RNA is filed under the name Fukomys damarensis (Damara mole-rat). It matches the Rfam family "tRNA". From Rfam's summary of the family: Transfer RNA (tRNA) molecules are approximately 80 nucleotides in length. Lineage: Eukaryota; Metazoa; Chordata; Mammalia; Rodentia; Bathyergidae. The record is from Rfam by way of RNAcentral.
GGGAUUUUAGCUCAGUGGUACAGCAUCUGCCUUAUAAGCACAAGGUCCUGAAUUCAAUCCCU